This 494-nucleotide ribosomal RNA is filed under the name Streptomyces sp. 306C04. RNAcentral's name for it is "bacterial SSU rRNA". It matches the Rfam family "Bacterial small subunit ribosomal RNA", at positions 93 to 601 of the family's 1533-position model. Lineage: Bacteria; Bacillati; Actinomycetota; Actinomycetes; Kitasatosporales; Streptomycetaceae. The record is from RNAcentral.
UAGUGGCGAACGGGUGAGUAACACGUGGGCAAUCUGCCCUUCACUCUGGGACAAGCCCUGGAAACGGGGUCUAAUACCGGAUAAUACUCCUGCCUGCAUGGGCGGGGGUUGAAAGCUCCGGCGGUGAAGGAUGAGCCCGCGGCCUAUCAGCUUGUUGGUGGGGUAAUGGCCCACCAAGGCGACGACGGGUAGCCGGCCUGAGAGGGCGACCGGCCACACUGGGACUGAGACACGGCCCAGACUCCUACGGGAGGCAGCAGUGGGGAAUAUUGCACAAUGGGCGAAAGCCUGAUGCAGCGACGCCGCGUGAGGGAUGACGGCCUUCGGGUUGUAAACCUCUUUCAGCAGGGAAGAAGCGAAAGUGACGGUACCUGCAGAAGAAGCGCCGGCUAACUACGUGCCAGCAGCCGCGGUAAUACGUAGGGCGCAAGCGUUGUCCGGAAUUAUUGGGCGUAAAGAGCUCGUAGGCGGCUUGUCACGUCGGAUGUGAAAGC